GAUGAACGCUAGCUACAGGCUUAACACAUGCAAGUCGAGGGGAAACGACAUCGAAAGCUUGCUUUUGAUGGGCGUCGACCGGCGCACGGGUGAGUAACGCGUAUCCAACCUGCCCACCACUUGGGAAUAACCUUGCGAAAGUAAGACUAAUACCCAAUGAUAUCCCACGAAGGCAUCCGAAUGGGAUUAAAGAUUUAUCGGUGAUGGAUGGGGAUGCGUCUGAUUAGCUUGUUGGCGGGGUAACGGCCCACCAAGGCGACGAUCAGUAGGGGUUCUGAGAGGAAGGUCCCCCACAUUGGAACUGGGACACGGUCCAAACUCGUAGGGGAGGCAGCAGUGAGGAAUAUUGGUCAAUGGGCGAGAGCCUGAACCAGCCAAGUGGCGUGCAGGAUGACGGCCCUAUGGGUUGUAAACUGCUUUUAUAAGGGAAUAAAGUGAGUCUCGUGAGACUUUUUGCAUGUACCUUAUGAAUAAGGACCGGCUAAUUCCGUGCCAGCCGCCGCGGUAA
RNAcentral lists this ribosomal RNA (508 nucleotides) under uncultured bacterium. Its description in RNAcentral is "partial 16S ribosomal RNA". It matches the Rfam family "Bacterial small subunit ribosomal RNA", at positions 28 to 523 of the family's 1533-position model. The record is from RNAcentral.